GUACUGCUGAAGAGUCCCAAACUAGCAUGAAACAGCUGUCCAGUAC
This is a non-coding RNA of Trichobilharzia regenti, 46 nucleotides long. The record is from Rfam. Lineage: Eukaryota; Metazoa; Platyhelminthes; Trematoda; Strigeidida; Schistosomatidae.